RNAcentral lists this ribosomal RNA (492 nucleotides) under uncultured bacterium. Its description in RNAcentral is "partial 16S ribosomal RNA". It matches the Rfam family "Bacterial small subunit ribosomal RNA", at positions 29 to 507 of the family's 1533-position model. The record is from RNAcentral.
AGUGAACGCUGGCGGUAGGCCUAACACAUGCAAGUCGAACGGCAGCACAGUAAGAGCUUGCUCUUACGGGUGGCGAGUGGCGGACGGGUGAGGAAUACAUCGGAAUCUACUUUUUCGUGGGGGAUAACGUAGGGAAACUUACGCUAAUACCGCAUACGACCUACGGGUGAAAGCAGGGGAUCUUCGGACCUUGCGCGAUUGAAUGAGCCGAUGUCGGAUUAGCUAGUUGGCGGGGUAAAGGCCCACCAAGGCGACGAUCCGUAGCUGGUCUGAGAGGAUGAUCAGCCACACUGGAACGGAGACACGGUCCAGACUCCUACGGGAGGCAGCAGUAGGGAAUAUUGGACAAUGGGCGCAAGCCUGAUCCAGCCAUACCGCGUGGGUGAAGAAGGCCUUCGGGCUGUAAAGCCCUUUUGUUGAGAAAGAAAAGCAGCAGGUUAAUACCCCGCUGUUCUGACGGUACCCAAAGAAUAAGCACCGGCUAACUUCGUG